CCAGAUUGAUCAAACUAGUAUUCAUAUGCUUUUAUCAAUAAUUAAUCCAUGCAUGUGUAAGUAUGAACAAAUUCAGAUAGUGAAACUGCGAAUGGCUUAUUAAAUCACUUUUAGUUUUUUUUUAUAGUAUCUACUACUGGAAUAACUAUAAUAAUUCUAGAGCUAAUAUGUGUAACAAAACCCGACUUCUCUACGGGAUGCAUUUCUUAGAUAAAAGGUUGAAGGGUCCUCUGCCUGUUGUUGCGAUGAUUCAGGAUAACUCGUCAGAUCGCACAUCCAUCGUACUAGAGAUAUAUCAUUCAAGUUUCUACUCUAUCAACUUUUGAUGGUAGGAUAGUGGCCUACCAUGGUAGGGAUGGGUGACAGAGAAUUAGGGUUCGAUUUCGAAAAGAGAGUUGGUGAAAUAGCUACCAGAUAUAAAAAAGGCAGCAAGCGUGCAAAUUACCCAAACCUGACACGAAGAGGUAGCGAGGAUCCAUUGGAGGGUAAUUCUUGUGCCAGUAGCAAUGAUAAUUCCAUCUCCAGAAGCAUAUAUUUAAUUUGAUGCAGUUAAAUGCUCAAAGUUGUACUCAGGAAUGGGUCAACCGAUCCACCUAUGUUAUGCACCGGUCAUCUCGUACAUUCUGUCAAUGAUGGGAUCCUAGCCUUAACUGGUCGGGUCAUACCUCCAAUGCAAUUACAUUACAGAAAUUAGAGUGCUCAAAGUAAGUCUAUGCUCUAUCUAAAUUAGCAUGGGAUAACAUUAUAGGAUUUUAGCCCUAUUACGUUGGCCUUCAGGUUUAGAGUAAUGAUUAAUAGGGAUAGUCAGGGGCAUUUGUAUUUCCUACUCAGAGUUGAAAUUCUUGGAUUUAUGAAAGACGAACAACCACGAAAGCAUUUCCCAAGGAUGUUUUUAUUAAUAAAGAACAAAAGUUUUGGGAUCGAAGAUGAUUAUAUUCUUUAUGAGUCUCAAGUAUAAAUGAUGAACCAGGAAUUGACAGGUGUUUCUUUUGGGAUUCUGCCGGCACCUAAUGAGAAAUCAAAGUUUUGAGUUUUAGAAGGAGUAUGGUUGCAAGGCUGAACUUAAAGGAAUUCACAUAAGAGCACCACCAGGAUUGAAUCCUGUGACUUAAUUUUACUCAACACAUGGAAACUUACUAGGUCUAGACAGAGUAUAGAUUAACAGACUGAGAUCUCAUUCUUAAUUCUAUGGGAGGUUGUAUAUAGCCAGUCUUAGUUGGUGGAGUGACUUCUCUAGUUAAUUCCGUUAAGGAACGAGACCACAGCCUGCUAACUAGCUAUGUUGAGGUAUCUCUUCGUGGCCAGCUUCUUAGAGGGACUAGACCUUUUAGGCUGUGGAAGUUUGAGGCAAAACUGGUCUGUGAUGCCCUUAGAUGUUAUGGGCCACACACACGCUACACUAAUAUAUUCAACGAGUUUGUAGCCUUGGACGACAGGACUGGGUAAUCUUUUAAAUUUAUUGGUGAUGAUAAUAGGUCACAGAAAUUGUUGGUCUUGAAUGAGGAAUUCCUAGUAAGCACGAGCCAUUCGCUCGCGUUGACAACGUAUCUGCCCUAUCUACUCAUUGCCCGUUGCUUCUAUUAAUUGAAUGAACCAGUAAAAUAUUUAGAUCACGAUGACAUGGGUAGUUUACUGCCUGCGGUGUUGCGAGAAGUCCAUUAAACUUUAUCAUUUAUAGGAGGAGAACUCAUAACAAGGUUUCUGCAAGUGAAACCGCAGAAC
This 1722-nucleotide ribosomal RNA is filed under the name Capsicum chinense (habanero). Its description in RNAcentral is "bacterial SSU rRNA". It matches the Rfam family "Eukaryotic small subunit ribosomal RNA". Lineage: Eukaryota; Viridiplantae; Streptophyta; Magnoliopsida; Solanales; Solanaceae. The record is from RNAcentral.